Molecule: ribosomal RNA, 753 nt
Filed under: uncultured Methylophilus sp.
Lineage: Bacteria; Pseudomonadati; Pseudomonadota; Betaproteobacteria; Nitrosomonadales; Methylophilaceae
Description: bacterial SSU rRNA
Rfam family: Bacterial small subunit ribosomal RNA
Source: RNAcentral
AUUGAACGCUGGCGGAAUGCUUUACACAUGCAAGUCGAACGAUGAACCUUAGCUUGCUAGGGGGAUUAGUGGCGAACGGGUGAGUAAUAUAUCGGAACGUGCCUUGUAAUGGGGGAUAACUAGUCGAAAGAUUAGCUAAUACCGCAUACGCCCUGAGGGGGAAAGUAGGGGAUCUUCGGACCUUACGUUAUAAGAGCGGCCGAUAUCUGAUUAGCUAGUUGGUGGGGUAAUGGCCUACCAAGGCUUCGAUCAGUAGCUGGUCUGAGAGGACGACCAGCCACACUGGAACUGAGACACGGUCCAGACUCCUACGGGAGGCAGCAGUGGGGAAUUUUGGACAAUGGGCGCAAGCCUGAUCCAGCCAUUCCGCGUGAGUGAAGAAGGCCUUCGGGUUGUAAAGCUCUUUCGCAAGGGAAGAAAACUUACUUUCUAAUAAAGAGUGAGGCUGACGGUACCUUGAUAAGAAGCACCGGCUAACUACGUGCCAGCAGCCGCGGUAAUACGUAGGGUGCGAGCGUUAAUCGGAAUUACUGGGCGUAAAGCGUGCGCAGGCGGUUUGGCAAGUCAGAUGUGAAAUCCCCGAGCUCAACUUGGGAACUGCGUUUGAAACUGCCAGACUAGAAUAUGUCAGAGGGGGGUAGAAUUCCACGUGUAGCAGUGAAAUGCGUAGAGAUGUGGAGGAAUACCAAUGGCGAAGGCAGCCCCCUGGGAUAAUAUUGACGCUCAUGCACGAAAGCGUGGGGAGCAAACAGG